RNAcentral lists this long non-coding RNA (4929 nucleotides) under Homo sapiens (human). Its description in RNAcentral is "HSALNT0336370". Lineage: Eukaryota; Metazoa; Chordata; Mammalia; Primates; Hominidae. The record is from RNAcentral.
AGUUUCACACUAACAUUGACCCAGAGCAACUUCCAGUACUGCAAACUCCAUUCAUGGAGAACUGUUAUGAGGAUGGAGACCUAGAGCUGAAUCAGGUACACACCUAAUGGUAUGAGUGGCAGUUUCAAAUCCAUUCUACACUCUGCUGCAGCUGACAAUAGGCAGCAUCAGCAGCUGAAAGAUGAGAGUUUGGGUGAAGAUAUGGUCUUUCUGCUUGGUGGGUUUAGAGAAAGGAACUGGACCUUCCCAGACCAGCAUCUUGUUUUUGGAAUCCAGCUGUCUGCAGGAAGCACACACCCUGCUCUGUCCUUUGUGACUAGGUAUAUUCAUUUAACAAGGGGAGUCUCUGAGGAGCUAUCAAAAACUGCUUGCCAUCUUUCCAAAUCAUCUCUGUCUGCAGUGACCAUGUCUUAAUCCUGAAGGAAAACAAGGUGGAAAUUGAUUUUUACUUCUCUGCAGCUAAGUAUGUGGCAGUCUUGGCCACAUGGUGACUCAGCAGAGGAGCCUAUGUACUGGCUGUCCUGAUGCUCUUCCUGAUUCAACUGAUUCUCUACACUUGAUCUUAGCCAAAAGGCCGAGAAGCAAUGAUUCAACUGAUUCUCAAAAGGACACCGCUGCAGGAAUAAACCCACUUCUAAAUAUGGUACACUUGGAAAGUUGUCCAGCUCGCAAUGUCAGAGUCACAGACUUCAUGCACACUCAUCUCAAGUCAAUGUUAUCUAACACAUUUCCACUAAUUAUUGGAUGACACUAGCAAGAAACUCUGAUAUUUUUCACCUAACCUUUGCUAAUUUAAAUGUGGCCAGCCCACCCUCAUACUGCAUUGUGAUGGGGAUAUAAAAGCCAAUGAAAGAUAUCAUUAAUUGUUAACAAUAGUCAUCACUGACAACUUCCUGUUGAAUGUCACUGUUACUCCUGCUACUGCUACUACCACUACCAUUUAUGAAGCUGCCAUUAUUACUAACUCAAAGCUUUCACAGAUACAGAAACAGGUGUAUUUUUUGUUUUGUUUUGUUUUUUGUUUUUGUUUGAGAGAGAGUCUUACUCUGUCGGCCAGGCUGGAGUGCAGUGGCACAAUCUCGGUUCACUGCAACGUCCGCCUCCCGGGUUCAAGCAAUUCUUGUGCCUCAGCCUCCCGAGUAGCUGGGAUUACAGGCAUGUGCCACCAUGCCUGGCUAAUUUUUGUAUUUUUAGUAGAGACGGGGUUUUACCAUGUUGGCCAGGCUGGUCUCAAACUCCUGACUUCAGGUAAUCCACCUGCCUAGGCCUCCCAAAGUGCUGGGAUUACAGGCAUGAGCCACCGUGCCUGGCCAGAAACAGGUGUAUCUUUAAAGCAUAACUUCCUCUCUGCAUCUUGCUUCCCCUCUUUCUGUCCCUUCUCCUCUCCCACCCCCACAGUUUUGGCUUCACUUUGCUCAGGCUGUGACAACUGUCUUUAAGGGAGCUAACUUUUAUCUGACUGUAAAGCCAAGCAAACUAAUCUUGCAAAACUGUUCUGCCACAUAGGUUGGUCUCUUCCUGUUUGGAAUUCAUCUAUAUAUUAGCAACUUGGAAAGCCUUUGAGCUGAGCUAGUGCGCAAAGCUGCACCUUAGACUGUGGUUUACAGUGCUGCUUAAUUGUCACAACGGUGUCACUCACCUUGUCCUCACCUAACCUGCAAGGUAGACAUUUAGGCUGCUUUCUUCAUCAGUGUAAGGUGAAAUAGCAGAUUGGUGUGUAAAAAGUGUGGCUUGGAGUGUGGUGGUAUGAACUGUGGGAUUAUUUACUAUAGGGUCUCAUUGCAAAUCCUUUAGAACACUUGCCUCUUACACCUUUUGUCUGUCUGCUCUUAAAUAUUUUCUGUCCUUCCAGCAUGCUAUCUCUACCUAACAGAAGGGGUCAUAUCUGUCUCAACUAAAAGUCAUUCCAUUUGGGUCAUUCGUCUGGAGGCUGAGACAGUGGAAGAGUCAAACUUGCCCUGAGCUUCACUCAGCCAGUACCUGUCUCCUCUGCCCACUGUCCAGCAACUUACCCUGACCCAUCCUUUAAGGAACUUGCCAAGAGAGAGCAGAAUACUCUUUCUUUCUCUCUCUCUCUCUCUUUUUUUGUCUUUCAUUUAUUCUUUGGAUAUAAACUGCAGACCUACUGGUUGUAAAGCACUGAGUUUCACAGUGAGGGCAACAAAAGAAUAGAACACCUGGUUCCUAUUCUGAGAGGGUCACCUCUGUUCACACAACUUCUGCCCAUCUGACUCAAUCUACUAGACUUCAUGUGGCAACCAAACUAUACUGUCAAGUACCCUCUGAACCCGCCUGCCCUUCCUGCCUGCAUGCGUCAUGGAAGAGCUGCCUUUGCCCCAGGACACUGCUCUGGCCCCAUUACCAUCACCAUCACCAAGGAAAAUACAUCCCUUAUAUUUCAAAGCCCUAGUUCAAGCAUGUCUUCCUUUCAGGCAGAUAAAAUUAUUUUAUGCUUAAAGAUGCAGAAAAAAUGACACACACACACACACACACACACACACUCAUAAAACAACUUUAGAGUCUAUAAGAUCUCAUUCUGCACUUGGGUGCUUACUAAAAAUAUCUCACUGGAAGAAUAACUAGCCUUAGUUUCCACAUCUGCAAAAUGGAGAUAACAAUACUAUAAAAUGAUUAUGGCUUUUUGAUGAUGUAGUUUGCAUAAAUGGCCUAGCCAAGUACCCGGCACCCGUAGGUACUCUACAAAUGCUAGUCAGCAUCCCUUCUUGGAAAUCUCCACGAUUAAAUGAUAUCUUAUGCAGCUGUUUGCAGCUUAUCUCCUGUUAGACUCCAAGCUGCUUAAGAAUAGUGACUAUGGGCUUAUUCACAUGGGGUUCCCUGCAGCCUUGCUUAGUGCUUUGUACCUAACAGAUGCUAAGGCAUAUUGGAUACAACAGUUUAUUACUGUAAAAAUACAAAUGACCAUAGGUCUGGAAAGAGCCAGGCUCAGCAGGGUACAAAGCAGGCCUGGGGGUACAAAGCCCAGGCUCUUUAGAACCUUUGCCUUAGCUCAGCAAGGUUCUCAAGGGUGGAGUAAUUGCAGAGAGAAAAUGGCAGGCUCCAUGUGCAGGCUUAUGUGAUUUAGGGCCACAGACUGACCCUUCCUGGGGUCACCCACAAGAUGAAUCAGGAAAAGAGAGAACAGAGAUGGGGCCAGCUGCUCCCAGAUCCUUAGACAUUCUAAAUAAGGGGGAGAGACUCAGUCUUUUCUGAUUAAUCUUUGAUGAUUUAUUCUUUGGACAUCAUUUAAAAGGAGCAUUUUAAAGUAAAUUAAUUGAACUCUCAUGACCUUUUACCCUACUAAUAUCAUCAAAAGAAACUAGAUCUUGAAUUUUAAAAAGCGCUUGAUUUAUUUUCUGUGACUUACAAACUACUGAAGAACAUCAGUUUUUAUUUUUUGAAAUUAUGAAAACUCCAGCUUUUAAAGCAAGAAGUCAAAACAGCUCAGUUUUGAAACAUCCCAAUUUUAGCAAAUGAGUAUUGAGUGAAAGGUGUCAUAGACAUUGGUAAAAGAUAAAUAUGUAAUUUAAUACACAGAAAACUGGGUAAGUAUUGUCUUCAAAAAGCCAAUUCCCCUUCUACCACACUGACCCUGAUGGUAUUCUUGAGUCCAAAUGACUUGGGUAAAUUCUGAUUAGUAUAAACCAGUUUUUUUUUUUUUUAAUUAUUUUACUUUAAGCUCUGGGAUAUAUGUCCAGAACAUGCAGGUUUGGUACUUAGGUAUAUAUGUGCCAUGGUGGUUUGCCACACCUUAUCAACCUGUCAUUUAGGUUUUAAGUCCCACAUGCAUUAGGUAUUUGUCUUAACGCUCUCCCUCCCCUUGCUCCCAACCCCCUGACAGGUCCCAGUGUGUGAUGUUCCCCUCCCUGUGUCCAUGUGAUCUCAUUGUUCAACUCCCACUUAUGAGUGAGAACAUGUGGUGCUUGGUUUUGUGUUCCUGUGUUAGUUUGCUGAGAAUGAUGGUUUCCAGCUUCAUCCAUGUCCCUGCAAAGGACAUGAACUCAUUCUUUUUUAUGGCUGCAUAGUAUUCCAUGGUGUGUAUGUGCCACAUUUUCUUUACCCAGUCUAUCAUUGCUUGGCAUUUGGGUUGGUCCCAAGUUUUUGCUAUUGUAAAUAGUCCUGCAAUAAACAUACGUGUGCAUGUGUCUUUAUAGUAGAAUUUAUAAUCCUUUGGUAUAUACCCAAUAAUGGGAUUGCUGGGUCAAAUGGUAUUUCUAAACCAGUGUUUUUUUGUUUGUUUGUUUGUUUUGUUUUUUUUAAAGUGCAGGAAGCAGUUUAUUAAUUAAUUCUAAAAUCAAUUUAGUACUUUGAAUCAGAAUUUUUUAAAUUAAUUGAUAGUAUAAAGAAUAAAAUAGAAUGGAAAAUAUCUGGAGGUACUGCACAUAAGGAUUCCAAUUUCUAUUUUCAGAACUUUCAUUUGUAAUUUAUGUACGCAUCUAACGUGUAUUUACGUGUAUACUGAGUUAGGGUGUACAACUUUUCCCUGAGGCUGUAUCUCAAAAACUUUGGAAGCUGAAGAAUUUGUCCAAAUCUAUGUUCCUUUUUGUUUGUAAAUCACCUGAUGAUGGUGAUAUAGCUGUGGCCAACGAAAUGUCAAGGGAAGUCUGCUGGGGAAGGUAGACGUAGGAUAGGAGUAUGGGAAAAAAUUAUUCACUCAAAAGCAUGAUGCACAGAGGAGCUAUGAUCUUUUCUUGUUUUCCUCACUGGAUGUUGUCAUGUCUGUAUGUACUUCCUGGAACUGUGGCACCAUCUUACAACCAUGAAAGGAGCUCACAUGAAAUCAUGUUGAACAUAGCAGAGCGGGAAGAUGGAAGGAAUCCGAGAUCUAUGUUUGAUGUUAAGCGAUGAUGUUAAAAACUUAAAAAACUCCAGAACUCUCUUACCCCUGGGCUUGUUAUAAUAAAAAGAUAAUAAUCCUCUUAGUGUUUAAGG